Molecule: transfer RNA, 73 nt
Filed under: Mycobacterium phage Che12
Lineage: Duplodnaviria; Heunggongvirae; Uroviricota; Caudoviricetes
Also listed under: 1 other name
Description: tRNA-Gln
Rfam family: tRNA
About the family: Transfer RNA (tRNA) molecules are approximately 80 nucleotides in length.
Source: RNAcentral
UCUCCUUUCGUCUAAUCGGUAAGACACCCGGCUCUGGACCGGGCAAUUGAGGUUCGAGUCCUUGAGGGAGAGC